Molecule: non-coding RNA, 21 nt
Filed under: Rattus norvegicus (Norway rat)
Lineage: Eukaryota; Metazoa; Chordata; Mammalia; Rodentia; Muridae
Source: RNAcentral
ACUGGCUUUUCUUUGUGUGGC